RNAcentral lists this ribosomal RNA (609 nucleotides) under Ascomycota sp. 3 RB-2011. Its description in RNAcentral is "eukaryotic LSU rRNA". The stretch from base 234 to 387 matches the Rfam family "5.8S ribosomal RNA". The record is from RNAcentral. Lineage: Eukaryota; Fungi; Ascomycota.
CUUGGUCAUUUAGAGGAAGUAAAAGUCGUAACAAGGUCUCCGUAGGUGAACCUGCGGAGGGAUCAUUACACAAAUAUGAAGGCGGGCUGGAACCUCUCGGGGUUACAGCCUUGCUGAAUUAUUCACCCUUGUCUUUUGCGUACUUCUUGUUUCCUUGGUGGGUUCGCCCACCACUAGGACAAACAUAAACCUUUUGUAAUUGCAAUCAGCGUCAGUAACAAAUUAAUAAUUACAACUUUCAACAACGGAUCUCUUGGUUCUGGCAUCGAUGAAGAACGCAGCGAAAUGCGAUAAGUAGUGUGAAUUGCAGAAUUCAGUGAAUCAUCGAAUCUUUGAACGCACAUUGCGCCCUUUGGUAUUCCAAAGGGCAUGCCUGUUCGAGCGUCAUCUGUACCCUCAAGCUUUGCUUGGUGUUGGGCGUCUUGUCUCUAGCUUUGCUGGAGACUCGCCUUAAAGUAAUUGGCAGCCGGCCUACUGGUUUCGGAGCGCAGCACAAGUCGCACUCUCUAUCAGCAAAGGUCUAGCAUCCAUUAAGCCUUUUUUUCAACUUUUGACCUCGGAUCAGGUAGGGAUACCCGCUGAACUUAAGCAUAUCAAUAAGCGGAGGAA